AUGACCAAAACCUAUGGAAGAACUAGAAAGGCAUUGAUCAGAUACACUCUGGCUUAUAGCUUUACUAGCUAAAAGCAAAAACAGCAUUUUUAGCUGACCCACUUUACCAUAACCCAAAAUAGUUAGACUACCCAAUUCUGAUACUUGGGAGCAAAAGCAAUUCUGAAUGUAAGAAGCUUGAUUAUCUAACCUUUUCUGAACCAAGUCCCCCAAUAACAAGCUAAAGACUAAUCAUUUAAGCCCAUUGAAAUAAGUUUCUUCCGAAUCAUUAUUAUAACCCAAUAAAGUUACUUGAGUUCUCUAACUUUGCCAGAAGGGAACAUGGGACUAUGUACCUUUUUUUCUCAGGAGGCCAUCAAAGUUUGUACAUAUAAAAAGCAAAAAAUGGUGAUCAUGAACCUUUUCUCUAGUGGACAUUCCUAUCACCACCCUGGAAUGUAAUCAUUAAUGCCAACUCAAGUAGUUUCUAUAUACACAUCUAAUAAAAGGAACUCUGGUUUCUCUAUUUCUCCAUAACUAAUGAUUUCAUCAUCCUACUUUACCGGAGAAGAAAAAUGCAAACUUCAAGAAAGACCUUUCAUUACAUUCCAAAGCUAUAAACUUUUGAUUACCCACAACACAACACAAUCAAGGUCACAGAAUCUAGCAAAAGGAUUGAUUGUAUACCUUCUUAGGGUUAGGGAUAGAA
Arabidopsis thaliana (thale cress) is the source of this 688-nucleotide long non-coding RNA. RefSeq annotates it as other RNA. The record is from RefSeq. NCBI's taxonomy places the organism in Eukaryota, Viridiplantae, Streptophyta, Magnoliopsida, Brassicales, Brassicaceae. The transcript has a single exon.